Solanum lycopersicum (tomato) is the source of this 804-nucleotide long non-coding RNA. RefSeq lists it as uncharacterized. NCBI's taxonomy places the organism in Eukaryota, Viridiplantae, Streptophyta, Magnoliopsida, Solanales, Solanaceae. The record is from RefSeq and is a predicted model, not a curated record.
AAUCAAGUGGCUUGUCAGUUACGACCAAACUCAACAUUUAGGCGCUCAAACAAAAUAGUUUACCUAGCUGAUAAACAAUGGACCUGAAGAGCCAGCAUUUAUGCAUAUGAUCAAAUCCAACAAAUGGAACUUUCAGAAAUAGCGUUUCUACUUUCAUGAGGUAGGGGUAAGGAAGCCUCAGUAAUAAAUUCUGUGGUCCCUCCGGUGCCCAAUUUAACUAGAACUCAGAAUCCUAUUUUCUAGUAGAAGAUGGAAAAGUAGCGUUCUUUUUUCUUUGAAGGAAAAACGUGUGUUUCGAAGUUUUCUUGAAGAAUAAGAAUUGACUUUUCUUCUCCUCUUUGGACUAGGAAGACAUCUCUAUAAAUAGGGAGUCUUCUAACCAAGAUUUGAUUGAGGAUUCUAUAUACAAUACUUGCCCACCCAAGUAUUGAGGGAGUUCAAUUGUUGAUUGGGAUCACUGUAGAAGACUAUAGAGCUGGAGUUGGAUUUACUUCAAGAUAUCUGCACUUGCUUCAAGAGGAUAUCUACCACUUCUUACCAACAACAGCUUUCGCUAGCAGCAGGUUUCAGAUCCAUGAAAAGAAAACAGGGGAGCAUAAGUAAACAGAGAAGAACAGAAUUGCAGCGAGGCGAAUCAACGAUCACUUAGAAGGGAAAAUUGAUAAUCAUCACAACUAGUAACAGUUACCUUUUGGCACGUUUUGGAUCAAUAGUCCACAGUUCAGCUAAUUUAUCAGGAGCCAUAGCUUUCUUAGCUUCAAUACUCUCCGUCAUCAACAAACUUGAACUAUCAACAGAAUUACU